This 585-nucleotide ribosomal RNA is filed under the name uncultured bacterium. RNAcentral describes it as "partial 16S ribosomal RNA". It matches the Rfam family "Bacterial small subunit ribosomal RNA", at positions 355 to 1375 of the family's 1533-position model. The record is from RNAcentral.
UGGGGAAUUUUGGACAAUGGGCGAAAGCCUGAUCCAGCAAUGCCGCGUGUGUGAAGAAGGCCUUCGGGUUGUAAAGCACUUUUGUCCGGAAAGAAAUCCUUGGCUCUAAUACAGUCGGGGGAUGACGGUACCGGAAGAAUAAGCACCGGCUAACUACGUGCCAGCAGCCGCGGUAAUACGUAGGGUGCAAGCGUUAAUCGGAAUUACUGGGCGUAAAGCGUGCGCAGGCGGUUUGCUAAGACCGAUGUGAAAUCCCCGGGCUCAACCUGGGAACUGCAUUGGUGACUGGCAGGCUAGAGUAUGGCAGAGGGGGGUAGAAUUCCACGUGUAGCAGUGAAAUGCGUAGAGAUGUGGAGGAAUACCGAUGGCGAAGGCAGCCCCCUGGGCCAAUACUGACGCUCAUGCACGAAAGCGUGGGGAGCAAAACAGGAUUAGAUACCCUGGUAGUCCACGCCCUAAACGAUGUCACUAGUUGUUGGGGAUUCAUUUCCUUAGUAACGUAGCUAACGCGUGAAGUUGACCGCCUGGGGAGUACGGUCGCAAGAUUAAAACUCAAAUGAAUUGACGGGGUCAUAGCUGUUUCCU